AAGGGGUAUGAGGACGAGGGGUUGAAUACAAAUUCAUGAAAUCUCAAUGAAAGUCCGACCCCCAGC
Molecule: non-coding RNA, 66 nt
Filed under: Saccharolobus solfataricus
Lineage: Archaea; Thermoproteati; Thermoproteota; Thermoprotei; Sulfolobales; Sulfolobaceae
Source: RNAcentral